ACGGGUGAGUAAUAUGUAGGAAUCUACCUAGAGGUGCGGGAUAACUUAGGGAAACUUAAGCUAAUACCACAUAAGCCCUAUGGGGGAAAGCAGGGGAUCGAAAGACCUUGCGCCUUAUGAUGAGCCUACAUCGGAUUAGCUUGUUGGUGGGGUAAAGGCCUACCAAGGCGACGAUCCGUAGCUGGUCUGAGAGGAUGAUCAGCCACACUGGGACUGAGACACGGCCCAGACUCCUACGGGAGGCAGCAGUGGGGAAUAUUGGACAAUGGGGGCAACCCUGAUCCAGCAAUGCCGCGUGUGUGAAGAAGGCCUUAGGGUUGUAAAGCACUUUCAGUGGGGAGGAAGUUGUAGGUGAUAAUACCACUUGCAAUUGACGUUACCCACAGAAGAAGCACCGGCUAACUCUGUGCCAGCAGCCGCGGUAAUACAGAGGGUGCAAGCGUUAAUCGGAAUUACUGGGCGUAAAGGGUGUGUAGGUGGUUAGGUAAGUUAGAUGUGAAAUCCCCGGGCUUAACCUGGGAACUGCGUUUAAAACUGCUUAGCUAGAGUAUUGCAGAGGAUAGUGGAAUUUCCAGUG
RNAcentral lists this ribosomal RNA (577 nucleotides) under uncultured Gammaproteobacteria bacterium. Its description in RNAcentral is "bacterial SSU rRNA". It matches the Rfam family "Bacterial small subunit ribosomal RNA", at positions 102 to 675 of the family's 1533-position model. The record is from RNAcentral. Lineage: Bacteria; Pseudomonadati; Pseudomonadota; Gammaproteobacteria.